GGUAUUUUGUAAUGGCUGAGUGCUCUAUGGUAUUGAAUGUAGCUGAUAGGAUGGGGCUGGAUCUGGUACACACAACCUCACUUCCGCUCACCAGCAGAAUGGACAGUGGUGUCACAUAGACGUUACACGGAAACAAACUGAGAAUAUUGCCCAUCUGCAAGGUGCAAUAUAUACAAUAUGUUUUUUUUGUAAAUACUUUUCUUUUUCAUAAUUUUUUGUUUUAUUUUGGCCACAACCAAGGAUGUAAAUACAAACAAAUGAAAUAUGAAAAACCAGUAUAUGUAAAAACAUAUGCAACACUCACAAACUGGAUGUUUGAGCACCAACUUGCCGGUACCUGCGUCCCACCAUCUGGUAAAAUAAGCGGGGGGGGGGGCUAUGUAUAUUAACGCUUCAUACUGUACAUCUGUGUGCUUGUGUGUGUACUCUCACACGCGCAUGUCGAUCCGUAUUCAGAAGUGACCCCGUGACAUUAAGCAUCCCUGUGCCUCCUAUUCUUUGCAAAGAGAUAGCUAACAAUCCCUACAUUAUGUCUUGGCCACAACUCUAAGCUCUAUACAGUCAAGGCUAUACAGUGUGUGUCCACCAACAGACUGGUCUCUCCAGGUUAACGACGGGAGUGGGUAGCAGCCACAGUAGUCAGAGUAUGUGAAGGUGUAAUGGAUAUUGCCGUUUAGAAGGGGAGGGGGGAUGGCAAGACUUCGCUAAAAGAGAAAUCAGUCAAUAUUCCCAAUACAAAAGCUACGCCUAAACCACAGCUUGCCUGGCUACUGCCCGCUACGUCUUAACUUGGGAUAGCCCAUUUAAUGGAAUCCCCCAACAUCCCUGUCCUUUCAUCAGCAGUCAUAGCAUGGUUCAGUCCAACAGGCUGAAACAUGGGGAGAGGGAGGAGAAUGUCUGUGAUGUUAAGUUUUUUUGCAGGGGGGCUGUGUUUGCUCCACAUAUGUCAAAAUGUAGUUUUGUGAAAACAAAAAAAGGAACUCGAGAUGUCUAUGCAAAUCCGUUACAACCCCUUCAAAAGCGUGCUCCCUUUACUGGCGAGGCAGACUGGCAGUCAUGUUUAAAUUAAAGCAGUUUCAACCUUGUCCGGAUUCCCCUGACCCAACUCAACUGCAUGAAUCCCAUGGGUCCUUAUUUGAUCUGGGUACAAAGGCCCUUGCUACUCUGUUGCGGGCUGAGGGUCAGGGCUGUCAAAUGAGUGGGGCCCAGGGUUGACGGGAUACUCGAAGGCUCUGUUCUCCAACCAUAACCCAGCUCACCGGCUGAUCCCUGGGGUCCAGCAAGUCUACUUGUUGAAAUGACAAAAGGCCAAGUGUUGGAAGGGCACUGUCAUAGAAAGGUUGUGCUGUUGUAAACUGCUCCAGAAUCAGUGUGUGUGAUGUGUGUAUCUGUGUUACAGUAUUUGUCUACAUGAUGCAACGCUCUCAUGGUUUAGCAGAUCGAUUUGGUGCUACCUAACAAGGCCCACGCAGCCUCAGACGAGUCCCUACAUUUUUGUAGAGUUCUUUUAGAAAGACGAGUGGAUAAGAAAGAAAAAACGCUGGCAUAGAUGAGCUUUCAAAUAUUUAAUCUAGCGGCCAAAGGACUGUCAUUCAAGACGUCAUGGCGCUCAGUGGGUGUCGAGCGACGUACGUGGGCGAGAUGCGAGUAACUUGUGCAAUGGCCGGAUGAUCUCUCACCUCUCCUCAUGGAGGUCAAAGGCCAGACCACUCAGAGACACGAGCGAAUGCACUGAUGCACAAUCGUUGAACAAACCAAGUUUGUUCACACAUUAACAGGACAGCUUUAACCCGCUGUACACUGACAUAGCAGCAUGUACGUAGUUGAGACGCACUUUCCGUAGCCUCGAUUUGAGAGUCUUUCCCGGAAAAUAUAAUAAUAUAAAAACAAUUAAUGAUUGUGUCAGCGUAAAGCGUUUAAACAUACUGAUUGCACCCGAUAAUGACCAAAUAGCGCUUGCAACAUUUACUUAGAAUUAGUUGGACCGUUAUAUCAGUGUCGCUGUAUCCUCAAAGCCAUAGCAGUUGACAACAUAUAUAUAUAUUUUUUUUACAAAUGUUUUGAAUGAAGUGCGUUAUGUGAGCGAGUGGUGCUGUAGUUUAACUAGUCUUGUCAGACCCUAUUAGGCGAUUUACUGUGAGAAAAUGUGAAUAUGCAUGACCCAUGAGAGUGUUGGCUAGAACACCUACUCUAAACAUGCACACUCACAGACACGCACCUUGUUUCUCCGGACUGGGUAAGAAAGCUAUUGAAGGAUUCUCUCAGGUAAAAAAUAAAUAAUACAAUUUUCUAGAUAAAUGAUGAUAGACCUUAGAUGAACCACAAUUGUUAGCUCAUAUUUGUUGCCCUAUGGAUGGAGAAUGUUAUGCUAUUUACUGUUUGCACUGUGCUCCCUCUCGUUGGUUUUCCCAGUUCCUUCCCCCUUUACCCUUCCUCGUACGAAGAAACUGCACCGCAUCCUCAUAGCUUUGUUUUAAAUGAGAGGGUACUUCUGCCCGCGUGUUGGUUUCUACAGUGCAAGCAGCAAUACUCAGCUGCCCCGCAGUUAGCGAACGGCCCACUUGCAUGGCUUCCAUCCAACAUGGCAGCAAUUCACCAUCAAAAGGAAAAGGAAAAGCUUUGCACCUCUGUCCACAGACGUGUUCUAUUUAGGUCUGCAUAAUGCCAAUACUUAGUGAUGCAUUGGAAGCUUGGUAUGGCUCAAAUUUGUUUGUGUUGUAUGUGUGUGUGUGUCCGUCUUCGUCGGUUUGUAUGUGUGUGUUGUGGUGUGUUGAGCAUCCGCUGACCCGCUUUGGUCUCCCCAACUCCCUAAGCAUCUUUUGAGGCCGCAGUACGAGAAAGAUUUCUGUAAAACAGCCUUGGUCAUAGGCUCACAUUUUUAUUUCCCUUGAAGAAUGUAGCCAAUAACGUGUUUGAGGGGUCAAAUAGGGGUGCAUAUAUUUGUCCUUUUUUGCUCCAUGUACAAGUGGGUAACCUGGAUGAGUGUGGAAAUGUUUUUGUUUUUUUGCAUUUCUCAACUCCCCCUGAGGCACCCUCGAAGAGUGGGGGUCGCAGCCAGGGAUCAGAGAUUAUUGACGGUGACCCUGGAGCAAUUAGGGUUAAGUGCCUUCCUCAAGGGCAGAUCAACAGAUUUUUCACCUUUUCGGCUCAGGGAUUCUGAACUAGCAACCUUUCGGUUACUAUUCCAAUACCCUGACCGCUAGGCUACCUGCUGCCCAAAAGGCUUGGGAACCGUUCGGGUGUGGGUGAGGGGGGUUGUAACUCACAAGUGCAGAAUGUGAGCUGGUAGGAAUGCUUUUUAAAAAGGGGCUCAACUGGAUGGACUUUUAUGCUUGCAAAUGGAAACCAGACUGUUGAUAGUGUUACCUCUGUCCUGGGUUCUCUUGUUUUUGGCAUUGCAGGUUUUGAAACGGCUGCCUUAUUGAUUGUGUUUUGUAUUGCUCCCAUGUGAAACUGUACUGCAGUAUUUUAUGUAGAGAUCGAUGAUUUGUGUUGACUUUCAUUGGUUUUCUUUGAAAAAAUGCAGACAAUAGAAUUGGGCUCUUGGGGGAAAGAUAGGCCUAUAUGUAUGUUUGCUUGAU
Molecule: long non-coding RNA, 3581 nt
Organism: Oncorhynchus kisutch (coho salmon)
Lineage: Eukaryota; Metazoa; Chordata; Actinopteri; Salmoniformes; Salmonidae
Exons: 2
Source: RefSeq, a predicted model, not a curated record